RNAcentral lists this ribosomal RNA (301 nucleotides) under uncultured bacterium. RNAcentral's name for it is "partial 16S ribosomal RNA". It matches the Rfam family "Bacterial small subunit ribosomal RNA", at positions 509 to 809 of the family's 1533-position model. The record is from RNAcentral.
CAGUAGCCGCGGUAAUACGUAGGGUGCAAGCGUUAAUCGGAAUUACUGGGCGUAAAGCGUGCGCAGGCGGUUUGUUAAGACAGAUGUGAAAUCCCCGGGCUCAACCUGGGAACUGCAUUUGUGACUGGCAAGCUAGAGUAUGGCAGAGGGGGGUGGAAUUCCGCGUGUAGCAGUGAAAUGCGUAGAUAUGCGGAGGAACACCGAUGGCGAAGGCAGCCCCCUGGGCCAACACUGACGCUCAUGCACGAAAGCGUGGGGAGCAAACAGGAUUAGAUACCCCCGUAGUCCCUGUCUCUUAUCC